This 103-nucleotide non-coding RNA is filed under the name Acetobacterium woodii. RNAcentral's name for it is "c-di-GMP sequence". It matches the Rfam family "c-di-GMP-I riboswitch aptamer". From Rfam's summary of the family: GEMM was predicted in a large-scale screen for bacterial structured RNA regulatory elements. Genes associated with GEMM are involved in a diverse array of functions, including chemotaxis regulation, signal transduction, secretion and chitin. The record is from RNAcentral. RNAcentral also lists the same sequence under 1 other name. Lineage: Bacteria; Bacillati; Bacillota; Clostridia; Eubacteriales; Eubacteriaceae.
AAUAAACAAAGGCAUAACAGGUGAAAACUUGGGACGCAAAGCUAUAGGGUCUAAGUCGAUGGAUUGUUUAAAAUUCAUUAUGAUACGACAGCCAGUUGCCACA